Long non-coding RNA from Macrobrachium nipponense, 464 nucleotides. RefSeq lists it as uncharacterized. Lineage: Eukaryota; Metazoa; Arthropoda; Malacostraca; Decapoda; Palaemonidae. The transcript has 3 exons. The record is from RefSeq and is a predicted model, not a curated record.
UGUGGACUUGGAGCUGGAAAUUGUACAGUCAUUGCAGCAUGGCCAUGGGGGUUGGACUGAUGGCAUGUUUGAAUGCCUUGGAACAACUGGAACUGUUGUUGGGAUUGACGAAGACCAUGAUAUCGUUGUGGCUUAUCCAUCUGGUAACAGAUGGACUUUCAACCCAGCUGUUCUUACAAAGGUUGGCGGAGGUGUUGUGAUGAGCAAUGAAAGUAGUACCAGCCAACAAUUCAGUGUUGGUGACCUUGUGCAAAUUUGUGCAGACUUAGAACGUAUUAAAAUUCUUCAGAGAGGACAUGGCGAAUGGGCAGAGGCUAUGGUCCCGACCUUAGGUAAAAUUGGACGUGUGCAGCAAAUAUAUCAUGACAACGACCUUAAAGUGGAAGUUUGUGGCACUUCUUGGACUUACAAUCCAGCAGCAGUUACCAAAGUUGCCUCAGAUGGAGCUGUGCCUGGGGCUGCUA